Molecule: non-coding RNA, 2451 nt
Organism: Misgurnus anguillicaudatus (oriental weatherfish)
Lineage: Eukaryota; Metazoa; Chordata; Actinopteri; Cypriniformes; Cobitidae
Source: RefSeq, a predicted model, not a curated record
UGCCGCCUGCCCAAUCUGUUUUGCGCAUGCGCAUAAUUGUGCGCAUGCGCAUAAGCUCAACUUGUUUUACGACAGUUUACGACCCUACCUGAUCUGUUCUACGCAUGCGCGACAACCGGAGUUUAAAAAUAGUGAAGAAAUGCGUCAUAUAAGAACACCGGCGAACAUAUGGAGGCUAAGGUAAGUGACGGAAAUGUUCGUUCAAAAGUUUUUAAUGCAGAUAUACAGGCGUCUUUAUGCAUAAACAACAAGGUCACUAAGACAUAAUAUACAGUAUUUCAUAUCAGCAUGUAGUUAGCUAGACUAGCUGGCUGGUUAGGCUUACAAUGAAAUGCAGUGUGUCCGGUUACCUGAAAACUUUGAGUGUUUAAACUUACAUUUAUUUGAUGGUGUAUUGGCCCUGACUAGAUUCGUGUGACAUGUAAACCACAAUCCUUGUUGAUACCAGAGGUGGACACUACUUAAGUAUUUUACAUAAAAGUAAAUGUUUAAGUAUUCCUUUUUUAAUCAGUGUUUUACUUUGGAAAACAUACAUUCCAAAGCAUAUUAUCAUAAUUUUUACUCCACUACAUUUCAUAAUUUCAAGUGUUUGGUUUCCCUACUAAAUAUCCAGCUAAAACCAGCAUAAGCUGGUAGCUGUUUUUUUUGCUGGUUUAAGCUGGUCAGGCUGGAAGACAGCUGAUCCACCAGCUUUGCCAGGCUGGGAGGACCAGCUUAAACCAGCCACCUUAAAGCUUAUGCUGGUUUUAGCUGGAUUUUCCAGUAGGGGUGUAUUUUAAUCUCUAUCUUUUUAUGUUUAUCUAAUUUAUGUUUAUUGUUUCGUCAUGUCAUCUUUGUUUUAGUCCCUUUCAUUGUCUGUGCAUGUCACAUUAAAAAUGUGCAAUAUAAAUAAAGUUGAUUUAAUUUGAUUUAGUCUUUCAUCAUUGUAUCUAUGUGUUAACAUUGUAGCAGCAUAUGGUGAGUCAAGAUAUCUUUUUUUAGUCAUUCGUAUAAAGGACCAACAUGGACCAGUAUUUAUUUCAUGCUGCCCUUCGGCAGUACCUACUAAGUGGGAUGUCGAUGUCGCGGUUGACUGGAAGAGAGUCAUGCGGGUGGCCAACCACUUCGUUGUAGAUGAUUUGUCCAUGCUGAUGGCCAUGCAGCAUAGUUGAAGCAGACCUGUCAGAAAACAUCCAAAGGUGCUAUGAAUCCUAUGACUAGAUACGCAUCCUAAAAUUACUAGAGGUUACGAAGCUCCUUUUUGGAUCCAGCUUCAUUUAUGAAGACUUCAGAUGAUGCCAACACUCACAGAGACUCAAGAUGAUGGCAACAAUAGAUGAAGCAACACCCACAAAGACUUUAGAUGAUGGCAACUAUAGAUGGACAUACAAAAUUGCCAAAUAUAAUAUUUUAUACCACGGGUCUGUUGAAUGCUGCAUUCUGAUUGGCUGAGAAAUGUUCUAUGGGUGUUGAUUAUUUUUCUGUAAACCGCACACCUAACUUGUCAAAUGUCUUAAAAAUAGGCACCAGAGCAAUGUUUGUGGUAACCGUGGUAUAAGAGGAAUAAUUGCCUCCGGUCCUUUGAAUUAUUUGAAAAUAAUGCACACCUGCGGUGUAACGGCACUCCGCUUCACGUCGUGCCGCAUUACCACUUUGGUGUGCAUUAUUUUCUUAUAAUUCAAUGGCCCGUCGUCAAUUAUUCCUUACGUAAUUACUGCCCCAAAGCGCAAGUUUGCAGAUUUUUAACCCACUUUAUAUUGUUACAAAUACAAUAGAUGCUAACAUUUGAACAGAAAAUGUUUCCUCUUUAUUCUUGAGUUAAUUGUGCUGAUUUAUUCCCAUUUUUUUAUCCACAAUACUUUGCCAAAAGUUAUUACAGACAUUAUAACAAUACAAAGUGGGUUGAAAUUCUGCCAACUUACCCUAUAAUGAUAAUUGUACAUGACUUUAAACACAUGACUUGUGUUAACUUAGAGCUAUUGUGAAAUUAAUAUUGUUUUGUUUCCAGAACAUUCUCCUCAGUGAGUCACUGUUACCUCGGACUGAUUAAGGGAUUUUUUUGUAACCUUGAAACAUGCAUUGGUUUUAUUAUGGUCAAACUGCAGAUCUGCAGAUUUUGUUACCAUGGUUCUACUAACGUAACAUUAUAGUAAUGCUGGAGUGAAACUGUGGUAACCAUAUUAUUUUAAAUCAUGGUAAAGUUUGUGGUUACUAAAAUGCACUACUAUAUGCUGUUGUAAGAGCAUGAUUAUUUUUUAUUUAUUAAUAAACCAUGGUUGAUUUUAUAUUUACCGUGGUUUUACUGCAAAUUAUGGUAAAAAAUUAUAGAUAACUUUUGCAUGGGUACAGAAAAAAGUGUAAACUGAACGUUUCUAUUUGUAAGUCAUGUGGUUAAAUGCAUCUGAUAAAUGUAAAUGGAUUUGUAUAUUUAUUCUGUUUACUGAAAAUAAUAAAUUUGCAGUUGCUAUUGUA